CUCAAUGAAAAUUUAAUAGCCGCAAUAUAUUGUGCUAAGGUAGCAUAAUCAUUUGUCUUUUAAUUAAAGACUAGUACGAAAGAUUCAAUAUUUUAAUUUCUUUUUUAUAUAUAAAACAACAAUUUAUUCUAAAUAUAAAAAAAUAUUUAUAUUUAAAAAAGACGAUAAGACCCUAUUGAACUUAACUAUAGUUAAACUGGGGUAGUUAAUUAAAUAUAAUUUUAAUUAUAAAAUUUAAAAUACCCAAUAAAAUUGAUUAAUCAAGUUACCAUAGGGAUAACAGCGUAAUAAUUAUUUAAAGAUCUUAUUUCAAAAAUUGAUUGCGACCUCGAUGUUGAAUUAAUAAUCUAUUAAAUGCAAUAAUUUAAUAAGAAAGUC
Molecule: ribosomal RNA, 378 nt
Filed under: Draconarius sublutulentus
Lineage: Eukaryota; Metazoa; Arthropoda; Arachnida; Araneae; Agelenidae
Description: partial 16S ribosomal RNA
Source: RNAcentral